GACGAACGCUGGCGGCGUGCCUAAUACAUGCAAGUCGAACGCUGAAGGAGGAGCUUGCUUCUCUGGAUGAGUUGCGAACGGGUGAGUAACGCGUAGGUAACCUGCCUGGUAGCGGGGGAUAACUAUUGGAAACGAUAGCUAAUACCGCAUAACAGUAGAUAUCGCAUGAUAUCUACUUGAAAGGUGCAAUUGCAUCACUACCAGAUGGACCUGCGUUGUAUUAGCUAGUUGGUGAGGUAACGGCUCACCAAGGCGACGAUACAUAGCCGACCUGAGAGGGGGAUCGGCCACCCUGGGACUGAGACACGGCCCAGACUCCUACGGGAGGCAGCAGUAGGGAAUCUUCGGCAAUGGACGGAAGGCUGACCGAGCAACGCCGCGUGAGUGAAGAAGGUUUUCGGAUCGUAAAGCUCUGUUGUAAGAGAAGAACGAGUGUGAGAGUGGAAAGUUCACACUGUGACGGUAUCUUACCAGAAAGGGACGGCUAACUACGUG
This 495-nucleotide ribosomal RNA is filed under the name uncultured bacterium. RNAcentral's name for it is "partial 16S ribosomal RNA". It matches the Rfam family "Bacterial small subunit ribosomal RNA", at positions 28 to 507 of the family's 1533-position model. The record is from RNAcentral.